CAGUAGCCGCGGUAAUGCGAAGGGGGCUAGCGUUGUUCGGAUUUACUGGGCGUAAAGCGCACGUAGGCGGACUUUUAAGUCAGGGGUGAAAUCCCGGGGCUCAACCCCGGAACUGCCUUUGAUACUGGAAGUCUUGAGUAUGGUAGAGGUGAGUGGAAUUCCGAGUGUAGAGGUGAAAUUCGUAGAUAUUCGGAGGAACACCAGUGGCGAAGGCGACUCUCUGGUCUGUAACUGACGCUGAGGAGCGAAAGCGUGGGGAGCGAAUAGGAUUAGAUACCCCAGUAGUCCCUGUCUCUUAUAA
This 301-nucleotide ribosomal RNA is filed under the name uncultured bacterium. RNAcentral describes it as "partial 16S ribosomal RNA". It matches the Rfam family "Bacterial small subunit ribosomal RNA", at positions 509 to 809 of the family's 1533-position model. The record is from RNAcentral.